GCGGCUGUGGCGAAAUGGCAGACGCGCUAGCUUGAGGUGCUAGAGCCCGCAAGGGUGUGGAGGUUCGAGUCCUCUCAGCCGCA
RNAcentral lists this transfer RNA (83 nucleotides) under Planctomycetota bacterium. RNAcentral's name for it is "tRNA-Leu". It matches the Rfam family "tRNA". Rfam says of the family: Transfer RNA (tRNA) molecules are approximately 80 nucleotides in length. Their secondary structure includes four short double-helical elements and three loops (D, anti-codon, and T loops). The record is from RNAcentral. Lineage: Bacteria; Pseudomonadati; Planctomycetota.